UUGUACAAAAUGAAUCAUCGUCAUCAUCACUCAUCAGUUAUUUCUUCAAGAUACACUUCCAGUAUUCACGAAUCACAACACACUAACACAGGUUUUGUUGACAAAAUGUAAAUAAUUCAAAUAGAUUUCCAUAGAUGUCUUGACUAACCAUAACAACAUAACAGAUUGCAGAUAAGCUGAUUCAGGAAUUGGCUUACAGUCGAAUGAUAGAAUACAUUUAAGAAGGAUGAACUUUCUUUGAAUUAGAGGAAACCACCUUCAUCGCCGAUCUCAUCGACGACGUUGCGGAAUUUAACGCCGCCUCAAUAUACU
Molecule: long non-coding RNA, 312 nt
Filed under: Lactuca sativa (garden lettuce)
Lineage: Eukaryota; Viridiplantae; Streptophyta; Magnoliopsida; Asterales; Asteraceae
Description: long non-coding RNA (LSAT_LNC005703)
Source: RNAcentral